CCACACCAAACCGCAUCACCCCCCCACCACCCCCCCAGGGAUUUAUUUCUGCCCGGUGCCUCCCGGGGGGGGGGGACCCCCAGACCCCGGCUGCGGGUCCCCGCUACCCCCAGCCCCGAGCCGGCUGCGGAGCGGGGGUCUCGGGGCUGCCCCCCCCCCCGUCCCCGAGCUCCCCCCCCCCCCUCCCCUCCCCAUUCCCUGCCCCUCCCCGCAGCCCCGCGCACCGCCCCGGCCGCUUCCUUCCCUCCCUCCCCUUCCCGCGGCGCUGCCCGUCGGGACUCGUAGUCCUGCGGCUGCCGGCCCCGGCCAGGUCCGGUCCCGAGCUGCUCCCCCCGGUCCCGCUCCGCACCCCCCGGCUCCGCUCCGCACCCCGCACCCCGCACCCCGCACCCCGCCUGUUGCUGCGCGCCCCGCUCCCGGCUCCGCGCCCCGCACCCGGCUCCGCGCUCCCCCUGUUGCUCCUCGCCCCGUUUCCAGCUCUGCGCCCUGCUCCCGGUUCCGCUCCCACCUCCCGGUUCCGCACCCGGCUCCGCACCCAGCUCCGCACCCCUCUCCAAGGGCCCUCUCCAAGGCUCCGCGCUCCCCCUGUUGCUUCUCGCCCUGUUUCCAACUGUGCGCCCUGCGCCCGGCUCUGCGCUCCCCCUGUUGCUCCGCGCCCCGUUCCCGGUUCCUCUCCCAGCCCCCGGUUCCGCACCCAGCCCCGGUUCCGCUCCCAGCUCCGCUCCCGGUUCCUCGCCCCGCACCCGGCUCUGCGCCCCCCCCGUUGCUCCGCGCCCUGCUCCGUGCCCCCUUCCCAGCUCCUCUCCAUCUCCGCGCCCCAGCCCUUCUGCGCUCCCCCCGCGAAGCAGAACCCCCCCUACCCCGGGCUAUGGUCCUUGGGGGGCUGGGGAUGGUCCUCGGGGGGCUGGGGAUGGUCCUGGGGGGGCUCAGCCCCACUGCGGGCAUCGGGGCAGGAGCACGGAGCUGCUGCUCUCACCUUGCCGGGGGCUUCGUGGGGAGCUUUUGGCCAGGGAAAGGCAAAGCAGAGCCGUGGCCAAGGGGUCUCUUUAUUUUUUUUUGAGGGGGGGGCACUCGGGACAGGUCGUGGCCAUGGGGUCCCGGGGCAGCCCCCCCGGGGCAGGCGGUUGGAGCGCUCACAUCCAGCCAUGUCCCCGGGUUGUUUUUUUUUUUGCACUUUUGAAACCUCCCCAGG
Molecule: long non-coding RNA, 1192 nt
Filed under: Anas platyrhynchos platyrhynchos (common mallard)
Lineage: Eukaryota; Metazoa; Chordata; Aves; Anseriformes; Anatidae
Description: lncRNA (ENSAPLG00000020751.1)
Source: RNAcentral